RNAcentral lists this non-coding RNA (18 nucleotides) under Saccharomyces cerevisiae (brewer's yeast). The record is from RNAcentral. RNAcentral also lists the same sequence under 5 other names. Lineage: Eukaryota; Fungi; Ascomycota; Saccharomycetes; Saccharomycetales; Saccharomycetaceae.
GCUGCGGAAGGAUCAUUA